AUUUAAUGCCUAAAAAUAGUAUUGAAUUGAUGAAAUAGUAUACAUGAUACUUGAUGCAUUAAGGUGAGUUUAGACCACACUUUGUUUCUACAUUGUAAGAUAGUUAUCAUUUUAUGUUUUUAUAACUAUACUGAAAAGAGACUGGCUGAAUGGGUUUGCAGAUGAAGUUGUAAAAACACAUUAAUUCACGCAUAAAUUGUCCAUCUGUCAUCUUUGGGCGUCCUUAGGAUGGAAAUGAUCACGUAGCUCGAGUAAAACGCUCUUACACCAGGAACCGGAAGUGGAGUUUUACAGCCUUGUUUACGGCGCUUGUUUACAUUAUCGAUGGAGUAACAGGAAUGAAGAAUCCCUGGCUGCAAUGUUUUAGCAGAGACGUUGCGUUAUUUACAAGGAACGAGCUGUGAAAUAAUGUACUUUGGGCAAUGAUAUCGGAGUUUGUCAAUUGGCAUGGGCAACUGUCAACGUUACACGCGUGUAAGCAAUGGACUUGAUGUUGAAGUAAAAGUUACCGUUACUCAAUCGGGUGGCCGAAGCGACCUAAUUCGUGUUUAUCCGGGUAAGUCACGGAACAUUCCUACAGAUUAUGGAAUCGUUACCAUAUCCAUAUUUGAUCCGGAUGGUCCUGAUAAGAGGUAUCCAAACGUAAAGAUAAAUUUACCGUAUGAGUACGGUAUUGUUAUCGGAAAAAACAAACGUGGAAAACCCAAACUUCGAAGAGCAUUGCUUAAACACGUUUACUUGCAUAUAUUUUAGUUUUGUGUAUACAUUUUCACAAUGGAAUUUGUCGGCAAAGUGUACGAAUCUGAUAAACAUCAAAAGAAUCUGGAAAUUAUUUUGCGUGAACUUCAUGGAAUCUACAACGUUUGCCGCUAAGAAUAUUGAAAAUGCCAAACUGAGGAAGAAAUAUAUCAACCUGGCCAAGAACACAGCCUAUGAGAUACUGCAAGAAGCUAACUUUCAUAGCAAAUGACAGCUAACUCAAUCUUUGGGGCAGUCAAAACAGCUAUGUCCCUAGUAUUAUUGUUACGAUGUUUUAAAAUAUCGGACCAAAGAGUGUUGUCUGUCCUAUAUCGGACCAAUGCAUUGUCAUAACAAUAAUACGGUUUGUUGCUAAUAAAUGAUUGUGCAAUAGUUUGAAACAUGCACUCCGUCGGGUAAGGCACGGCGAAUACCACAUGGAACGACGUUUUAUACAGAUUUGUUGUACGACUUCAUAAUUGCUGUCAAACUGCAGCAGUAAUGAACUUUUACAUUUGAACACUUGAUGAUGGCAUUUCGUAGAGUAGUAAAAUGUUUGAAAAAGACUUGAGUUGAAAUAAAACUUCAUUAACGUUAAAACAAGGAUAUGAUGAUACAUUAAUUCAGUGCAUUGAUGAAGACGUCUGAUUUGUUUGUUUGUUUCUUUUUCGGCGAACGCCGUCUUAAUUCGUUUUCGUUACCUAUGCCACGUGACUUCAGUUUGCAAAUCAAACUACUUGAUAACGCAUUAUUGAUAAUUUAUCAAAAUAGAAGAUUUAUGCAACACUCUGCCUGAUUGGACGAGAGUGUCAAUUUCUUUCACUCGGUUGAUUGUGCUACGCUGAGUGAAAUGUAGACAAAGCGUUUAUCAUAAACGACGCUGUUCACAGUUUUAAAGCUAACUUUGGCUUAGUAUAUUUAGCAAGAAUAUUGAUAUAUCUCAAAAUGAUAAGUAAGUUUAAUAAACAUGAUAAAAACCUGUUCAAAUACCAACAUAUAACAAAUUAAAGAAAGAGCUGAAUACGGUCUGCGUAUCACAUGAAUAAGGGUGUGAUAAGAGUCUUUUAUGUAGAGAAGGGCUUUUUAAAAGAUUUUCCUUGUUACAAUUGUCGUCUGUAUAUGAAAAAGGUUUCUUGCUUUUGUGGCUUGUGCAUAUUAAAAUGAGUACUUGUUUGCUUUGAUAUAUUUGUUAUAAAUUAUUUAACUGAUUUAUUAUAUAUGUAUAUCUGUCUUUAGUAUGGUAUGCAAAUAUUGAACUCAGUUGAAAUCAGUUUUAUCAUAUAUAUGCUAAAAAUGACUGAAUCUCAUUACACUGAAAAGAAGGUACGCUGCAUACAGUUUAUCUAUGUGAUAUGACUACGGUCAAACUUUGCUUAUGAAACAGAAAUAUUGAAAUAAUUACAAUUCUAUGUUUUGCUUGACCUUCACUUUUUAUAGGUGUGACAUCAUUGUCUAAAGAUUCAUGAAUAGCGAAUAUGCAUUUGUUAAAGCGGGAUCAGUUGGCCUAUUUUAGAAAUAAAUAAAAAUAUUAAAUGAAAAAAUCCUUUAAUUGAUUUUUUCUCAUGUAUUCUAAACUUGAUU
Long non-coding RNA from Mercenaria mercenaria, 2319 nucleotides. RefSeq lists it as uncharacterized. The record is from RefSeq and is a predicted model, not a curated record. NCBI's taxonomy places the organism in Eukaryota, Metazoa, Mollusca, Bivalvia, Venerida, Veneridae. The transcript has 3 exons.